RNAcentral lists this long non-coding RNA (1987 nucleotides) under Homo sapiens (human). Its description in RNAcentral is "HSALNT0139539". Lineage: Eukaryota; Metazoa; Chordata; Mammalia; Primates; Hominidae. The record is from RNAcentral.
UUGAGAUUACAGAUAACAAAUGAUUCUAUUUAGGGCUAAAGAUAAAUACAGCAGUCCUCCGCACUCACAUUUUCUGAGGUUUCACUUACCCAUGGUCAACCAUAAUUGAAAAUAUUAAAUGAAAAGUUGCAUAAAUAAACAAUUCAUAACUUUUAAAUUGUGUGCUGUUCUGUGUAAUGCAAUGAAAUCUCACACUAUCCCAUUGUUAAGGCUUUUUCACUCCCGUAGUUCGGUGAGCAGGAGGAAGUAGCACCCAACGGCUUCUUCUCUACCGUUGUUUGGGGAGUUGGAGGGAGUGUUACAGCUCUUUUAACUCCCACCACCCGCUGCUCAGCAAGCAGGAGCACUACACCUCUUUUGCUCCCGCAAUUUCGGGGAGUUCCAGGUUCCUGUCCUGUAACCAGAAGGAAUAAGGCUCCCCUGUUUCUCAGGCCUCCAGACUGAAGCUGAAUUAUACCACCAGCUCUCCUCAGUCUCCAGUUUGCAGACAACAGAUCAUGGGACUUCUCAGCCUCCAUAAUCACAGGAGUCAAUUCCUCAUAAUAAAUCUGUCUGCCCCCUGCUGUGUGUGUGUGUGUGUGUGUGUGUGUGUGGUGUGUGUGUGCUCUGUGUGUGUGUGUGUGUUUCAGGUGCGUCUGAUCCCAAUACCUAUGCUUUUAACCACUAUAAAUGGAGAAACAUUACAACAGGAAACCAAGAGUUGAGAAAGAAUUGUAGUGAGGAGGUGGAUAAAUGGGGAUGUUUCCCUACCUUGAACUCAAACCAGUUAGAUAGUUGCUACUUGGGAAGCUAAUCCACUUAUAUUAAAUAUAUAUAAUAUAGAUGACUAUAACAGUUUUGUCAAAAGAGCAAAACUGGGUUAUAUACACCUUUGACAAAAAUUAGCAUGAGUGUAGUUACUUCCUGAAUACAUCUUUCUUUUCAUUUAGUUGCUUGGUAAGCAGAUACUGCCCCAGCUUAUGUGUUCUCCAAACCACAGAUACACAUAUCUGGAUUUCCAGGAGGUUUCAUGAAGUGCCUCUUAAUAGAUAUGAGAUGAGAAAAACACCCACCCCAAUACACACACACACACACACACACACACACAGCCCACUAGCACCUUGGGGAAGAGGAAGAACAUAAAGCCUACCAUGUAUGAAGAAAUCUAUCUCCCACUGCCUAGCCUCUCCAACUUUAAUCCCUUUAUUGCUUUUGGAUGGGUGAGGAUGUGUGAGGAAACAAGUGGACAACACUAGUUUGGGGCUAUUUCAUUUGUAAGUCAUGUCUCAGUAUUCUGUCUCACUUUCUCAUGUGUAGGAGUAAAUAGAAUCUGUCUUCUUGGGAAUUUGCCUAAACUCAAGAUUACAAGAGGUCUGUGUUAACAUUUCUUGAACCCAAAUGUGGCACAUAUAUACCAUGGAAUACUAUGCAGCCAUAAAAAAGGGUGAGUUCAUGUCCUUUGCAGGGACAUGGAUGAAGCUGGAAACCAUCAUUCUCAGCAAACUAACACAGGAACAGAAAACCAAACACCGCAUGUUCUCACUCAUAAGUGGGAGCUUAACAAAGAGAACACAUGGACACAGGGAGGGGAAUAUCACACAUCAGGGCCUGUCAGGCGGUGAGGGGUUAGGGGAAGGAUAGCAUUAGGUUAAAUACCUAAUACAGAUGACAGGUUGAUAGGUGCAGCAAACCACCAUGGCGUGUGUAUACCUAUGUAACAAACCUGCACAUUCUACACAUGUAUCCCAGAACUUAAAGUAUAUUUAAAACAAAACAAAACAAAACAAAAAAAUAACAUGAAAUUGGAUCUCACCAAAGAAAAAAAAAAGAAAUGCAAAGUCAAGGGCCCCAUUCAAGACCUACUGAAUCAAAAAUUAAAAGUGGAGCCCAUUAAUCUCUGUUUUAAGAAGCCCUCCAGGAGAUUCUGAAACAAGCUAAAGUUUGUCACUAUUUUACAGCAUAUAAUAGAUUUUUAAUUGCAUUAUUCAAAAUCCUUUACUCUUUCUCU